ACGGGUGCGUAACGCGUAUGCAACCUACCUUUUACAGGGGGAUAGUCAAGAGAAAUUUUGAAUAAUACCCCAUACGAUCUGAAUCACUCCUGUGAUACAGAAGAAAACUACGGUGGUAAAAGAUGGGCAUGCGUCCUAUUAGUUUGUUGGUGAGGUAACGGCUCACCAAGACUACGAUAGGUAGGGGUCCUGAGAGGGAGAUCCCCCACACUGGUACUGAGACACGGACCAGACUCC
Molecule: ribosomal RNA, 237 nt
Filed under: uncultured bacterium
Lineage: Bacteria
Description: partial 16S ribosomal RNA
Rfam family: Bacterial small subunit ribosomal RNA
Source: RNAcentral